AGUGAACGCUGGCGGUAGGCCUAACACAUGCAAGUCGAACGGCAGCGCAGUAAGAGCUUGCUCUUACGGGUGGCGAGUGGCGGACGGGUGAGGAAUACAUCGGAAUCUACUUUUUCGUGAGGGAUAACGUAGGGAAACUUACGCUAAUACCGCAUACGACCUACGGGUGAAAGCAGGGGAUCUUCGGACCUUGCGCGAUUGAAUGAGCCGAUGUCGGAUUAGCUAGUUGGCGGGGUAAAGGCCCACCAAGGCGACGAUCCGUAGCUGGUCUGAGAGGAUGAUCAGCCACACUGGAACUGAGACACGGCCCAGACUCCUACGGGAGGCAGCAGUGGGGAAUAUUGGACAAUGGGCGCAAGCCUGAUCCAGCCAUACCGCGUGGGUGAAGAAGGCCUUCGGGUUGUAAAGCCCUUUUGUUGGGAAAGAAAAGCAGCAGGUUAAUACCCCGCUGUUCUGACGGUACCCAAAGAAUAAGCACCGGCUAACUUCGUG
RNAcentral lists this ribosomal RNA (492 nucleotides) under uncultured bacterium. Its description in RNAcentral is "partial 16S ribosomal RNA". It matches the Rfam family "Bacterial small subunit ribosomal RNA", at positions 29 to 507 of the family's 1533-position model. The record is from RNAcentral.